UACGUAGGGUGCAAGCGUUAAUCGGAAUUACUGGGCGUAAAGCGUGCGCAGGCGGUCGUGCAAGACAGAUGUGAAAUCCCCGGGCUUAACCUGGGAACUACAUUUGUGACUGCACGGCUGGAGUGCGGCAGAGGGGGAUGGAAUUCCGCGUGUAGCAGUGAAAUGCGUAGAUAUCUGGAGGAACACCGGUGGCGAAGGCGGCAUCCUGGACCGACACUGACGCUGAGGAGCGAAAGCCAGGGGAGCAAACGGG
Molecule: ribosomal RNA, 253 nt
Filed under: uncultured bacterium
Lineage: Bacteria
Description: partial 16S ribosomal RNA
Rfam family: Bacterial small subunit ribosomal RNA
Source: RNAcentral